GACGAACGCUGGCGGCGUGCUUAACACAUGCAAGUCGAACGGUGAAGCGCCUUCCUUUUUGGUGGGUGUGGAUGAGUGGCGAACGGGUGAGUAACACGUGAGUAACCUGCCCCCUUCUUCUGGAUAACCGCAUGAAAGUGUGGCUAAUACGGGAUAUUCUGGGUCUGUCGCAUGAUGGGUCUGGGAAAGAUAUUGUUUCGGUGGGGGAUGGGCUCGCGGCCUAUCAGCUUGUUGGUGGGGUGAUGGCCUACCAAGGCGGUGACGGGUAGCCGGCCUGAGAGGGUGGACGGUCACACUGGGACUGAGACACGGCCCAGACUCCUACGGGAGGCAGCAGUGGGGAAUAUUGCACAAUGGGCGCAAGCCUGAUGCAGCGACGCCGCGUGAGGGAUGGAGGCCUUCGGGUUGUGAACCUCUUUCGCCAGUGAAGCAGGCCUGCCUCGUUUGUGGGUGGGUUGACGGUAGCUGGAGAAGAAGCGCCGGCUAAUUACGUG
RNAcentral lists this ribosomal RNA (494 nucleotides) under uncultured bacterium. RNAcentral's name for it is "partial 16S ribosomal RNA". It matches the Rfam family "Bacterial small subunit ribosomal RNA", at positions 28 to 507 of the family's 1533-position model. The record is from RNAcentral.